GCCAGUGUGGUGUAGUGGUUUCAAUAUUGGAGUAUGACUCUAGAGACCAGGGUUCGAAUCCCUGCUCAGCCA
Phrynosoma platyrhinos (Desert horned lizard) is the source of this 72-nucleotide non-coding RNA. The record is from the annotation of a GenBank genome assembly. Lineage: Eukaryota; Metazoa; Chordata; Lepidosauria; Squamata; Phrynosomatidae.